Molecule: long non-coding RNA, 738 nt
Filed under: Hordeum vulgare
Lineage: Eukaryota; Viridiplantae; Streptophyta; Magnoliopsida; Poales; Poaceae
Description: long non-coding RNA (HVUL_LNC007563)
Source: RNAcentral
CGAGAGGUACCGGUCCUCUGGUGACACCUCGUAGUUGGGCGACCCUGGUAGGUCGUAGUGUGGCGGCGUUGUCGGCUCUUCGUAGGCUGGCGGUGGCGGCGACAGGUACCGGUCCUCCGGUGACACCUCGUAGUAUGGCGGAGGUGGAGACUCUUGGUAAGCUGGGGGUGGCGGUGACUGGUACCGGUCCUCCGGCGACACCUCGUAGUGGGGUGGAGGUGGAGACUCUUGGUAAGCCGGGGGUGGCGGUGAGUGGUACCGGUCCUCCGGUGACACCUCGUAGUAGGGAGCUGGCACCUCGUAGUGGGGAGGCGUUGUCGGCUCUUGGUACGCUGGAGGUGGCGGCGAGAGGUACCUUUCCUCAGGUGAGACCUCGUAGUACGGAGGUGGGGGUAAUGGGGACGGGGGCGGAGGUGAAGGUGGUGGAGGAGACGGGGUUGGUGGAGGAGGCGAUGGCGGCGGUGGUGAAGGUGGCGGUGGAGAUGGGGAUGGGGAUGGCGGAGGAGGUGGCGGCGACGGCAACACGAACUUCUUGCACCUGAAGGCGUCGCAGUUGACAUGGUUGCUGUUGAAGAAUUGACACUGCUCGAUUGACCUCUGGUCAGGGCGGUUCGGGAUGCAGUUUCGGCGAUCGUCCAAUGCCUUGACGUGCAUGCACACCGGCGGCUCGCCGGUGAUGUAGUUGUAGGAGUAGGUGAAGUUGUGGAGAUGCGGCAGGUGGCAGAUCCCCUCCGGCAC